UUGUUUGCAAAAUUUGCCUUUUGCUUAUGUCUAAGUAGGGAGCAUUAUUGAAUAAAUUUGGUUUUGGAAUCUAAAGUUGGGGAGAGUAAAGUAAAAAGAGUUGAUUAUAAACUUGGAGAAGUGAGUUUUUUAUGAAAGGGUGAAAAUAUGAAAAGAAACAAGAAAAAGAAAAGAAAGAAAAAACAAAGAAAAGGCUCAUGGUUGUGUGGAUGUAAAAAGAAAAAGAAAAGAAAAAGACGGGGAUCAAAGAAAUG
RNAcentral lists this long non-coding RNA (254 nucleotides) under Lathyrus oleraceus (garden pea). RNAcentral's name for it is "Pisum sativum (pea) long non-coding RNA (PSAT_LNC027476)". The record is from RNAcentral. Lineage: Eukaryota; Viridiplantae; Streptophyta; Magnoliopsida; Fabales; Fabaceae.